GGAGCAGACGGGCAGGCCGGCUCUGCCCUCCCGCGAAGGGGAGGCGGGGGACCCUGGGGGCGCUAGCGUCCCCCCCCGCCCAUGCUCCAAGGGGGAGGGAGAGAAGCAGCGCCGCGGCGACCUGGAGGGCAGAGGGGCCACUCGCGGCCUAAAUCGGGGGAGCGCGCCCCCCUGGCAGUGGCUCCGCACGGCGUGGGGAGGGCGCGGAAGGCCCCGACGGGGUCAGCGAGGGCUCCGCGGGGGUCGCGGUCUUGGAGGAGCCUCCCCACGCCGAGCAGGCCAUGAGAGUAUUCUUAUCCGGGAAUAAAUGCAUCUGGAUUGAGCGCAGCUAUCCCUGCGCUUCAGGCGGCCAGAGGGUCUCUCUCGCCCCCCUCCCGCGGUGCCCGGCUCGCCUUGCCGGCAGCGGGACACCGGCAGGACACCGCCGCCCCCCCCACUCAGCAGCUCCGGACUCCUCUUCGGGGGGGAACGACGACACGGACACACACAGGGCGGGGGGACUCGGUGCUCCCCCCUCCCGCAGGUGUCCGCUCCGACUGCGGGGUUAUUCCUCGGAGUAACCGCGGUACGGUCAACCCGUGGUGGUGCACCUACUUGAUUUAUUAAGCGGCAUCGUGUCCUCCCCUCUGGGACCGACGGGCUUCACCGGGCGCCCCGCCGAGCCCGCCGCGAGUGACAUGGGGCUCUUGGACGGUACGAAGACCAGCAGUUUGGCUGCUGUGGGCUGCCUUGCUCUGUGUACCUAGAACAGGCCAGUGCUAGCUCUCAUCUUCGCUGUCAGAUGUCGCGUGUUUUGGCGAAAGAAACCAAGGCUAACGCCUCUGAAACAGCCAAAUUCUCUCGUCCUUCGGGAUCUGCUUCUCGCAGACUGCUGGGAAGCGUCCCCAGCGCUGCCCCGCGCCACUAGCACUCCAACGCAGUGGUGUAACCUCGAAAGUUGAACAUUUGCCUUUCGCACACAUCGUGUACUGUACCCACCCUAAAACUUGUACAUUAAAAAUCCAGACAGGAACCCGAGCCACCGGGCUUCGGCCACGGGGGAACGCUGGGUGGCCGCUGACACCCACCGGGCUGCGCUGCGAGGAAGGAACCAGGUCCCGGGGCACCGGGAAUGCGGCUUCUCGGUGAGCUGCUCUCCUUGCUGGAGCCGCAUGGGGCGGGUAAGGUGGAUGCUCGUGAUCCCUGGUAUAAAUUAGCAGAAAUGCAUCCUACUGGUUUAUUUAUUUUUACCAAACCAAGUGUGUUAUAAAAGACAUUCUCUGCUGCUCAUGUUGACAAAUAACUCGUGAGCUACCUGACAGUGUUAGUCCAGUUGUUGCCCAUAUGUCUAAAUACCCUCCAAGAGACGUCAAUGCCUUUUAGAGACAGAAUUACCUCAAAUGAAAACCAGAAGAAAGAUGGAGUUUUUUCGUCUCCCCCAAAACCCGCUUUAUACCUGAUAGGAGCAACGCCCAGAGAAGAUUUUGGAAAAUUGAGUAUCACUUUCCCCAUAGCAGCUUCACAACAUGACUGGGGUGGGGAGGGUUUUAUUUUCCUUUAUUUUCUUCCUUUUUCUUUUAAAUCCAUACCUUCAGUAAA
Long non-coding RNA from Strigops habroptila (Kakapo), 1578 nucleotides. RefSeq lists it as uncharacterized. The record is from RefSeq and is a predicted model, not a curated record. The transcript has 2 exons. Lineage: Eukaryota; Metazoa; Chordata; Aves; Psittaciformes; Psittacidae.